CCGGAAGGAAAAUGGAAACUUUUGUGCAAUCGUUCAAAAGGAGAAUGAAAAGGUGUUUGCCUUUGAACGGUCGAACUGGAAGGUUUAGAUGAAAUAAUAGAAAUUAAAGAAUUUGAAGAUGCAGAAGAGACGUUUGAAUAGGAUCUAGUACGGGAUGAAUUCCUCGAAGAAGCAACGGAAGAACGCCCAGACAAGCUGCGUAUGGGAGUUCGUGAUCGUCGAGUCGGCUGGGGAGAUAUGACAGUAUUUUGCAGAGGAGAAGGUGGAAUAUCAAUAUUAAUUGAGAGGUUCGAACUUUUAGAAGGG
This is a non-coding RNA of Schizosaccharomyces pombe (fission yeast), 306 nucleotides long. The record is from the annotation of a GenBank genome assembly. Lineage: Eukaryota; Fungi; Ascomycota; Schizosaccharomycetes; Schizosaccharomycetales; Schizosaccharomycetaceae.